CCCUUUGGUAUUCCGAGGGGCACACCCGUUUGAGUGUCGUGACAUCCUCAAACCUUCUUGGUUUCUUGACCAGGAAGGCUUUGGACUCUGGAGGUUCUUGCUGGCCUUCCUUUGUUGAAGCCAGCUCCUCUGAAAUGAAUUAGUGGGAUCUGCUUUGCUGAUCCUUGGCGUGAUAAGAUAUUUCUACGUCUUGGGUCUCGCACUGUUCGCUCUUGAUCCUGCUUCUAACCGUCUCAUAGAAGACAAUGGUUGAGUGAUUGCCACUUGGCCUACAAACCUUGACCUCAAAUCGGGUGAGACUACCCGCUGAACUUAAGCAUAUCAAUAAGCGGAGGAAGGC
Molecule: ribosomal RNA, 340 nt
Filed under: Russula californica
Lineage: Eukaryota; Fungi; Basidiomycota; Agaricomycetes; Russulales; Russulaceae
Description: eukaryotic LSU rRNA
Rfam family: Eukaryotic large subunit ribosomal RNA (bases 280-340)
Source: RNAcentral